RNAcentral lists this transfer RNA (60 nucleotides) under Dipodomys ordii (Ord's kangaroo rat). It matches the Rfam family "tRNA", at positions 7 to 64 of the family's 71-position model. Rfam says of the family: Transfer RNA (tRNA) molecules are approximately 80 nucleotides in length. Their secondary structure includes four short double-helical elements and three loops (D, anti-codon, and T loops). The record is from Rfam by way of RNAcentral. Lineage: Eukaryota; Metazoa; Chordata; Mammalia; Rodentia; Heteromyidae.
GUGGCUCAGUGGUAGAGUGCUUGCCUUGUAUGCAUGCGGUCCUGGGUUCAAUUCCUCAGC